AUGUCAGUUAGAAGGAACCUAAAAGAUCAAGUUAUUCAACUCACUCUUCACAGAGAUGGGAGCUGGGUUCACCAAAAUGAAGGAUCUGGUCAAAGUCACUCAAAUACAAAAUGCCAGAACAGGACCAAGGGCAAGGUCCAUCUCCAGGUCAUGACAUCAAGGCUCAAAGACCGCCCUAGGCAGUUCCCGUUAGCCAUCCUUCAGAGGGUCGAUGCUGGGGCACAGUGUGAGCAGAAGAUGUAAAACCUGUUCUUCCUCUUGCGGAUGAUCUGCUACUACUUCAUUCUGAGCUGGGGAAAAUUGCAUGUGCAUCUGGUGACCUCCUUUUCUAUGGAGUGAAACCAUCUGGAAAUGUGAUUGUGAAGCUUGCUGAGCAGGAAAGAGAGAGCUGGAAAGUGAAGCCCAGGCUUUAUACUACCUCAGCUCUGAAACAGUAUGCAUCACUCUUGCUGUGGUUCAUUGGCCGGAUCUAGUCAAAUGGCCCCAAACUAACUUCAAGAGUCAGGGAAAUGCAAUUGCUAUGAACACUACACAUCUCUGCCAAUAACAACAAAGAUUGAAAUUCCUUUCACCUGGAGGUAAAAUUGAGUUCGAUGUAAAAGAAAUGAAGUCAGGAGUUCCCAAUUGUGAUGCAGUGGAAAUGAAUCUGACUAGUAUCCGUGAGAAUGUGGGUUCCAUCCCUGGCCUUGCUCAGUGGGUCAUGGAUCCAGUGUUGCAACAAGCUGUGGUGUAGGUCGCAGACCUGGUCGCAAAUCCUGUGCUGCUGUGGCUGUGGCGUAGGCCAUCAGCUUCAGCCCUGAUUCAACCUGAUUCAAGCUUGGGAACUUCCAUAUGCCCUAGGUGCUGCCCUAAAAAGAAAAAAAAAAGAAAGAAAAUUUAAAAAAUGAAGUAAUCUGACAAUUUCUAUGUACUUUUUUUUUUGGUUUUCUGGAGUGAUUUUUUUUUUUAACCUAUGUCAAAUGUUGCAGACCGACCUGCUUUAAGCUGAAGCAUGUGGAUCAUGCAUCCUGAGUUUGUUUAAUGCACAUAUCACACACAACAUUCAUUUCUCUGAGUCAUGCUAACAUUAUUGCUUUGUCUUCUCUAAAAUACUUCAAAGAGGGAGCAAGAGCCAAAAGAAGGAUUAGCUCCACAUAAAAGUCAGGUUUCAAGUGCUGACUGUCCUCAAGGAGGUGUAAAUAUCAUACUGCAGGACAGCCAGCCUGCUGUCUGCUCUACUUCAUUACCAAUUGCGACUGAUAUCCAAGGAUCAAAAUCUGAACUGCUGUACAUUAAAUUCAGUCACUGGAUUAUGGCACAAUAAAUUAAUACUUCUUCAAAAGCCUUAAUGUAUU
This 1334-nucleotide long non-coding RNA is filed under the name Sus scrofa (pig). RNAcentral's name for it is "lncRNA (ENSSSCG00035041208.1)". The record is from RNAcentral. Lineage: Eukaryota; Metazoa; Chordata; Mammalia; Artiodactyla; Suidae.